GAAUUUUUUUUAGAAAAAAAUGCUAGUGCUCGUCUUCUCGAGGGGCAUAUUUGCCCCACUGAUAGAGAGAGGAGAGCCCCAUUUUUGGCGACCUCUCCCAAAGCAAGGUCGUCGAAGGUUUCAAGGGCCUCCAGAGACCUUGCUCAAGGAAAGAGGUCACCGGAAAGGGGGGCUCAGAUCUGACCUACCUCCCCUUCUCUAUCUCUACUGGUUGCCGGAAAUGGAGGCUCCAAUCCCCCCGGUUCUCCCUCCUUUCUCUAUUGAUUCUUCUACAUGGGCUCUUGUGAUGUGCACGAUCCAGGAGUGCAAGAACUCGAACUGCAGAGGCCUUAAGAACACGAAUGAGUUCGAUAUCCAGCUCGAGAUCAGGACAACGUGAAGAAUCUUCGCUCCUAGACGAGUCCAAGAGGUGCCUAUUUGAACUUCCUAUUAAUCACCAUUGGGAAAUCGAAGUAGAAUUGAAGAUGGUCGUGGUAUCACCCGAUGGGAGAGUUGUUCUUGUCUUUCGAGAGAGGUGAUGUCUGUUAAUUGUGAGCUUGACUGAAUUUAUGGCGUAGCAAUAGGGAUUUUUGGGGAAGAUUGUCGGAGCCUUCGUCAGAGGCACCAUAAGCCUCCAGCGACACCCCCUUUUUUUUUUCAAGAAAAUAGCCAAAAUGAUGUAUUUUAGAUCCAACGUGGGACUUAACGUGCCGAAUUAGCAUAUAACGGGCCACAUCAGCGUUUUCUAUCAGGGAAUAGAUGCAAAUUUGGAUGGAAGGACUAAUUUGUCCAAAAGUUUUAAACGGCGUGACUAAUUUAUAUAAUUAAAAUUUUUUAAUGAUAUCUUAUCAAA
This is a non-coding RNA of Punica granatum (pomegranate), 832 nucleotides long. The record is from RefSeq and is a predicted model, not a curated record. NCBI's taxonomy places the organism in Eukaryota, Viridiplantae, Streptophyta, Magnoliopsida, Myrtales, Lythraceae.